RNAcentral lists this long non-coding RNA (498 nucleotides) under Cyanistes caeruleus (blue tit). RNAcentral's name for it is "lncRNA (ENSCCEG00000008617.1)". The record is from RNAcentral. Lineage: Eukaryota; Metazoa; Chordata; Aves; Passeriformes; Paridae.
CUCACUCAGCUUCUCCUAGUAACAGGUUGGGAUGGACCAUCCCUUAGUGUUCCUGUAGCUCCCCUGACAAGAGGGAGAAAUUGGAGGUGGGAGACAAUUCCAGGUUACCACGUCUACAGCUGGAAUCAUCUGCAAGCCUUGUGGCCAAGUGUGUCGACAAACAAAGAAAAAUCAUCAGAUGGUGAAUACUCACUCUGGGAUUUGUACCCCGCCCAUGCAGAGACUGAGCCCUGCCCUCUCCAGCCACAACGCAAGAGAUUUUGGUGUCAUACUUGUGGUGUCUCAGUGUCCUCCACUCGACUGCUGCUGUUUUGGCCCGAAAGCCCACCAGGGUCUCUGGCAAGUUUUCUGAACUGUCACAUUUCUGAGUGGAAGAUGCACAGACUCCUGGCCAGGGGAAUACAGGGGAAAAUCUUAUUUACAGAUAUUUCUUCCCCUGUCAGGCAUGUCACCUUUGGGAAUGGAAGCUACACUGUAGAAACAGCAAUAAACCUGUGA